UACGUAGGCGGCCAUAUAAAUCAGAAGUGAAAGGCUACGGCUUAACCGUAGUAAGCUUUUGAAACUGUAUGGCUUGAGUGCAGGAGAGGAAAGCGGAAUUCCUAGUGUAGCGGUGAAAUGCGUAGAUAUUAGGAAGAACACCAGUAGCGAAGGCGGCUUUCUGGACUGAAACUGACGCUGAGGUACGAAAGCGUGGGGAGCGAACAGGAUUAGAUACCCUGGUAGUCC
Molecule: ribosomal RNA, 228 nt
Filed under: uncultured bacterium
Lineage: Bacteria
Description: partial 16S ribosomal RNA
Rfam family: Bacterial small subunit ribosomal RNA
Source: RNAcentral